UAUAUAUAUAUAUAUAUAUAUAUAUAUAUAUAUAUAGAGUCCGGCUAUGGUGCUUUUAAAAGUACCAAGCACUUGAUGCUUGUAAAUAUUUUACCGUUAGAUCUCUGGCUUUGAUCAUAUUUACCCGUUAGAUUAUACUAUUAAACCAAUCACCCACUCAACCCUAGGGGGCCCACAUCAUCCUAACCGCACAUCCUUUAAUCCAAGAGCCAAAAACUUAUAAGCACCAAUGACUUGGUACUUUUAAAAGCAUAGGAGCUCAAUUAUAUAUAUAUAUAUAUAGAGUUGAGCUAGAAUACUAUCGAUAGCAAACGGGCUCCGUUGCCACCCAUUUGUUUUCGAUGAUGGAGCCUCCAAAUUGACGAUCGGCACCGUUGAACAUGAUCUAUACCACUUGAAGUGUUUAGAAAUCAAAUUUCAUACAUUUUCGAUAUUGUUCUCUUAUCCAUCGAGUGGACACAAAAAUGAACGGCUGAAAAUGAAUAUUCUUUAAAAAAUGAUGAUAGGAAUCUUGUAAUCAAGAUCAAGAGUAUAGAUCUUGUUUUAAAUAGUUUAAAGAAUUUUCUAACAAAAAUUCAAUUGAUUUGGAUAUCUUUACGC
Molecule: long non-coding RNA, 600 nt
Filed under: Ananas comosus (pineapple)
Lineage: Eukaryota; Viridiplantae; Streptophyta; Magnoliopsida; Poales; Bromeliaceae
Description: long non-coding RNA (ACOM_LNC017316)
Source: RNAcentral